This is a long non-coding RNA of Nelumbo nucifera (sacred lotus), 908 nucleotides long. RefSeq lists it as uncharacterized. NCBI's taxonomy places the organism in Eukaryota, Viridiplantae, Streptophyta, Magnoliopsida, Proteales, Nelumbonaceae. The record is from RefSeq and is a predicted model, not a curated record.
GGAUGUGGGGAAGCCAAAAAUACUUCUCUCACGCACUCUCCACUUCUUGUUCAACGAGACAAAAGGUCUCCUUGCAAAGAACCGGAUAAUAGUUUUUUUGACGAAGAAGAAUAUUGUAUAGGGAGAACCACUGCUCACAUAGAGAUUGAGAAGGAAAUCUAGGGUUACAAGUGUUAUGCGACUCCAAAUCCAACAUCAACUUUGCUUGAGAAGGGUGAAGAUUUCUUUCAAUUUGGAGAUAUCCAAGUCAACAUCGACCCUUAUUCGUUCGAGUAGGAGAAGAGAAGGUUUUGUUCCUCCUCCUCCUGCACCCUCUAAGGGUAAUGAGCCCAAGGCUGUGGAGAAAAUUGAUUAGUUGAAUCUUCCUUGUCCCGUACUGUAUGAAGAAAUCAAUCGAGAAGCUCUAAGUGUUUGGAGGUGAUGAUUCUGAUACUGAAUCCCCUAGAGACAAUCACACUUCGGGAACAAGUUUGAAGCAACAUGGAGAUUCUCAUAAGUCAAUUAAAGAUUCCAAUAGUGAACAUAACGAGCAGCAAGGAACAUUGACAAAUGGAAGUGAGAACCCAAUGAAUGAGAUGGAUGGUAGUAGCAAUUUACCUGCCAAUGAAUCUCACCAAUCAAUGGGAGAGAUUCUGUCUUCAAUGGAUCCGAGACUAGUUGUCCUGCACUUGGACCUGAAUUAUGUGCAGAGAAGCAUGCAAGUAAACUAAAUGGCUCCAGCUUCAAUGUCAAGCGCUCGACUUUCUGGGGAAGGAACACUACCAGGAAGAACACAUCCAUGGAGUCGAUUGACUCUUCUGGUGAAGAAGAGUUCAACCAAUAUGUUAAGUGGAUUUGCAUUGGAAGAUGUACUGCAUUAUUAGAGAAUUUGAUUAUUUUUUUAAGUUCUUGUACUAUUUAUAUGUCAA